This 644-nucleotide ribosomal RNA is filed under the name Streptomyces sp. 5112_3. RNAcentral's name for it is "bacterial SSU rRNA". It matches the Rfam family "Bacterial small subunit ribosomal RNA", at positions 100 to 758 of the family's 1533-position model. The record is from RNAcentral. Lineage: Bacteria; Bacillati; Actinomycetota; Actinomycetes; Kitasatosporales; Streptomycetaceae.
GAACGGGUGAGUAACACGUGGGCAAUCUGCCCUUCACUCUGGGACAAGCCCUGGAAACGGGGUCUAAUACCGGAUAAUACUCCUGCCUGCAUGGGCGGGGGUUGAAAGCUCCGGCGGUGAAGGAUGAGCCCGCGGCCUAUCAGCUUGUUGGUGGGGUAAUGGCCCACCAAGGCGACGACGGGUAGCCGGCCUGAGAGGGCGACCGGCCACACUGGGACUGAGACACGGCCCAGACUCCUACGGGAGGCAGCAGUGGGGAAUAUUGCACAAUGGGCGAAAGCCUGAUGCAGCGACGCCGCGUGAGGGAUGACGGCCUUCGGGUUGUAAACCUCUUUCAGCAGGGAAGAAGCGAAAGUGACGGUACCUGCAGAAGAAGCGCCGGCUAACUACGUGCCAGCAGCCGCGGUAAUACGUAGGGCGCAAGCGUUGUCCGGAAUUAUUGGGCGUAAAGAGCUCGUAGGCGGCUUGUCACGUCGGAUGUGAAAGCCCGAGGCUUAACCUCGGGUCUGCAUUCGAUACGGGCUAGCUAGAGUGUGGUAGGGGAGAUCGGAAUUCCUGGUGUAGCGGUGAAAUGCGCAGAUAUCAAGANNAACACCGGUGGCGAAGGCNGAUCUCUGGGCCAUUACUGACNCUGANGAGCGAAA